GUAGUCUUCAAAAGUGGAAUUAGGACACAAUUCCUCUGCAAUUUCUUCUUCUCCGGCCUUCGCUUCCCAUCUUUGUGAUAUCAUGCAACUAAGAGGCAACAUCAAUCAAAUAAUAACUGAUACACCGGAUUGGAUAUGUAAGGUCCAAAUUGUCGACAUAGGUCGAGAACGAGAGAGUCCCGAGAAAAAAGUUAGAUUUCAAAAUCAUAUUUUCGAGGAUAAAGAGGAGCAACAAAUUCGGGGAGUCGUGUAUGGCGAUGCCAUUCCGUAUUAUGCCGACAAGUUUAAACUCUUACAGAUAUAUCUAAUCUCCACUGCAAAAGUUAAAGUUUCAUCAACUUUAUAUGGUCCACCAAUAUAUAAAUUUUAUUAGGUGGUUGAUCGCGAGACUAUAGUGGAACAUAUUGAGCCAAAUAAUGAGAGUGAGAAACCACUACUACCACCGGCGAAGUUGAAUAUCACUUCUUUCGACCACAUUGCUCAUAUGACUCCACACAUUGCUACAGAAAUUGGUUAUUUACCCCUAUCAUCUGUUACCUUUACCUUGAUGAAAUAUUUGGCUUCUAUAGAAUAAAUGUAUUCCCCUUAUUAUAUUUCUUCGCUCUGGAAAGAUCAUUCUAUUUUUUUCCCAAGCAGAUAUACUAGGAGUCGUUGUCCGUUGUGGCUGUCUAAAGUAUGCAGGUCGUGCUUCAAAUAGGUGACGGAAGAUUAUUGUUAUAGACAGUCAGAAAAAGCAGUUUCUGCUCAAUUUAUGGGAGGACUUUGCAGACAUUGAAGGAACCGAGCUUUCGGGAAAAAUUGAAAAAAAUGAAGGAUAUCCUAUAAUUCUUGGAAGAAUUUCUUUCAAAAAGUGCUUACCAUAGCAAAUACGAAGACUUGAUAGAAUCAUGACUAAAGUGCCGCAGGAAAGUCUACCAACACUGCAUCAUAAAAUAGUACCAAAGGCAACAUGAAGUGUAUACCCAUCUCUCUGUGGAGACUCAAAACUGUUUGAUCUUUUUGCAAAUUAGCUCUUCAUAGCAUGUUGCUUUGGAAUUUGCUAGAUUCGAUGCCGUCUAUUUUUUGAUAUGGUGUUGUAUUUAGUUUGAACAAACUUUUUAAUUCAUUAACCAAAUUAUGUUGUU
This is a long non-coding RNA of Nicotiana tabacum (common tobacco), 1124 nucleotides long. RefSeq lists it as uncharacterized. Lineage: Eukaryota; Viridiplantae; Streptophyta; Magnoliopsida; Solanales; Solanaceae. The record is from RefSeq and is a predicted model, not a curated record.